This 751-nucleotide long non-coding RNA is filed under the name Coturnix japonica (Japanese quail). RNAcentral's name for it is "lncRNA (ENSCJPG00005019905.1)". The record is from RNAcentral. Lineage: Eukaryota; Metazoa; Chordata; Aves; Galliformes; Phasianidae.
CCUUGUUGGCCUCUCUGGAAUGGCAGACUCGAGCAGUUUACUGGGAACAUAAGUAACUGAUUAUUUGAUAAGUCCUCUUGGAGAUUGGGAAAAAGGAAGAGAUUCAUCAUGUAAUUGCAGGAGUUAAUUGAGGCACAUCAUAGAUGCAUUUUGUUAUUGACUUUGGUGUACCGUCACAAGCAAAACCAUCUCCCUGAUGCAAUGAGAUACAGGAUAAUUCCUGAGGACACACAAGUGCAGCUGAGUGCAAUGGAAUCUUUGCUUCUGGGACCACUGGUAGAAGUCAGCCACCCACAGCUGACCCAGCACCGUGGACCAGGACACCUGACUUACUAAUCUUCUGUGACUUUUGGGUGAGAGAAGCUGUGGCAGCAUGGCAGGGAGAGGUUGGACUGAAAGGUGAGCAGGGCUUGGAUGGCCAGCAUUGGUUUGAAAUGCCCUAACUACUGGUUUGUAUAGAUGUGUGGUUUUACAUCUGAAUUUGUCAUUGCAGCAUCCUUCUGUUAAUACCUGAAUAAGCAGGUAUUACCAAAGGAAGAUUUCUCUCAUUAGAUAUCUUAGAUAAGAUAGAUAUCCAAACAGUUCAAAUGAUUUACUAUUCAAAAUGCCAUAUGUGUUUAUGUGUUUAUAUAUUUCUACUGACAAAAAACAGGUAUGUUGGGGUGACUGGUGCACAUUUGACUAUCUGAGCUUAAACUGCUGAAGUGCUGGGUGAAAUAAAUCCUGGGUUUAGGGAGUGCUGAGCGUGUCC